Molecule: ribosomal RNA, 387 nt
Filed under: Triticum aestivum (bread wheat)
Lineage: Eukaryota; Viridiplantae; Streptophyta; Magnoliopsida; Poales; Poaceae
Description: partial small subunit ribosomal RNA
Source: RNAcentral
AUGGCCGGCACCAGAAGCUCCUCGAGCCACAAGCAGAAGAUCAAAGUAAAUCCCUAUGAGCACCAUUGUCCUAGUGUCAACAGAGCUGAAAGAUUGAGAGCAGCCAAGAGGAGAUGGAUUGUUGAUGCUGUGCAGAACUGGAAGAAUUGGAAAAGGCCAGCUAUGAGAGGACCAUCUCCCUGCAAGAAGAGGAAGAUGAGCACUACUUCUACAGUAGCAGGCACACAUGGGUCAGUGACUGGCAGCAAUAUGCAUGAGAAAACUGCUGCAACUCAAGAGGAAGUGCAGGCUGAUGUGCCCCAAAUCCCAGCAAAAGUGACUAGAAGCAGAGCUAAGGAGAUGCCAAACCCAGCAGGAAACACCAGGAGCAAAAGGGCCAAAUCAUGA